GGCCCGGUGGGGGAAUGGCUACCCAGGGGGCGGGAACGUCCUCGCAUCCUGGUUCAACUCCAGGUCGGGCCUCCA
Molecule: transfer RNA, 75 nt
Filed under: Chenggangzhangella methanolivorans
Lineage: Bacteria; Pseudomonadati; Pseudomonadota; Alphaproteobacteria; Hyphomicrobiales; Methylopilaceae
Description: tRNA-Ser
Source: RNAcentral